RNAcentral lists this ribosomal RNA (253 nucleotides) under uncultured bacterium. Its description in RNAcentral is "partial 16S ribosomal RNA". It matches the Rfam family "Bacterial small subunit ribosomal RNA", at positions 524 to 776 of the family's 1533-position model. The record is from RNAcentral.
UACGUAGGGUCCAAGCGUUAUCCGGAAUCACUGGGCGUAAAGCGUGCGUAGGUGGCAUGUUAAGUGUGGUGUUAAAUCGUGGGGCUCAACCCCGUCGAUGCAUCACAUACUGGCAUACUAGAGGACGGCAGAGGCAAGUGGAAUUUGUAGUGUAGCAGUGAAAUGCGUAGAGAUUACAAGGAACACCAAUGGCGAAGGCAGCUUGCUGGGCCACUCCUGACACUGAGGUACGAAAGCGUGGGGAGCGAACAGG